AACCUACACCACAGCUCAUGGCAACGCCGGAUCCCCAACCCACUGAGCAAGGCCAGGGGUCAAACCUGCAACCUCAUGGUUUCUAGUCAGAUUCGUUAACCACUGUGCCACGACAGGAACUCCCCCACAUAUCCAUUCUUGUUCAGAUUCUUUUCCCACAGAGGUUAUCACAGAAUAUUGAAUAUAUUCCAUCAAUUUCAUAUAUACAUAUUGGCAGAGUGUGCAUAUGCCAAUCCCAAACCCCCAAUCCCUCCCUGCCUCCCUCCCCUUCCCCUUGGUAACUAUGACUUUGUUUUCAGAGUCUGUGAGUCUGUUUCUGCUUUGUAAAUAAGUUCAUUUGCAUCAUCUUUUUAGAUUCCGCAUAGAAGUGAUAUAUGAUGUCUGUCAUUCUCUGUUUGACUUUCUGCACUCAGUAUGAUCAUCUCUAGGCUGCUCUCUAAUGCAGAAAGAAGGCAAGGCUUCUUUAAAAAGGAAAAAGUGAGGGGCUGGGAUCUGGGAGGGUAUCUUGGCUAAGAUGCACCCAACUGCACCCAGGGCUCCUUUCCUGCCCAUCCAGAAGCACAAGCCCGAGGUCAAAGAACCUGGCAGAUCGGAAGGUGUUGAGACGUUUCUCUGACCCAGUCACCCCAGUUCCCCCACCUCCUCCUUCCACCCUGAGCCCAGAACCCUUCCUGGCAGCGGCCCCCUCCCCCAAGGACCCUGUCCCUCUAAAGCAGCCCCACGUCCCUCGCAGAUGGCAGCUGGGGAGCAAGAAGGCGGAAAACACCAGGUCGGCCCGCGACGGGGGGUGGGGCUUCCCGCCCUCGAGUGACAUCGUUUGGGAAGAAAGCUGCUCUUCUCAGGCCUUGUCACUGCCUUGCCUUGACACAGUUCCAGCAAGGGUCCUGGGGCUUGUAGAACUUGUAGAAUCCCUGCUACUUUCCAGGGUCUUCCAUUUUCUCUUUCUAAUGGAUGCGUUAAUGACUAUUUAUGUGCCCAGAUUUCACUGGGAUGCAGAAGGCACAGCAGCUCUGAGAAAUCACUGA
RNAcentral lists this long non-coding RNA (1025 nucleotides) under Sus scrofa (pig). RNAcentral describes it as "lncRNA (ENSSSCG00005001080.1)". The record is from RNAcentral. Lineage: Eukaryota; Metazoa; Chordata; Mammalia; Artiodactyla; Suidae.